This 253-nucleotide ribosomal RNA is filed under the name uncultured bacterium. Its description in RNAcentral is "partial 16S ribosomal RNA". It matches the Rfam family "Bacterial small subunit ribosomal RNA", at positions 524 to 776 of the family's 1533-position model. The record is from RNAcentral.
UACGGGGGGGGCAAGCGUUGUUCGGAAUUACUGGGCGUAAAGGGCUCGUAGGCGGCCAACUAAGUCGGAUGUGAAAUCCCCAGGCUCAACUUGGGAACUGCAUCCGAUACUGGAUGGCUUGAAUUCGGGAGAGGGAUGCGGAAUUCCAGGUGUAGCGGUGAAAUGCGUAGAUAUCUGGAGGAACACCGGUGGCGAAGGCGGCAUCCUGGACCGACACUGACGCUGAGGAGCGAAAGCCAGGGGAGCAAACGGG